RNAcentral lists this ribosomal RNA (465 nucleotides) under uncultured bacterium. Its description in RNAcentral is "partial 16S ribosomal RNA". It matches the Rfam family "Bacterial small subunit ribosomal RNA", at positions 28 to 507 of the family's 1533-position model. The record is from RNAcentral.
GAUGAACGCUGGCGGCGUGCUUAACACAUGCAAGUCGAACGGCAAGGCCCUUUUGGGGUUACUUGAGUGGCGGACGGGUGCGUAACACUUGAGUAACCUUCCCUUUACUUCUGUAUAAGUUCAGUAACCUGGGGCUACUACCGGUAAGACAUCCUACCUGCUUGGGGGGGGUUCGAAAGCUCGUGCGGGCUUGGAUGGACUGGCGGCUUAUCAUCUUGUUGGUUGGGUAGUGGGUUACCAAGGCUCUGACGGGUAGACCGCCAGCGAGUGCGAGCGGCCAAAAUGAGACUGAGGUACGGCAGAGAUUGCUAAGGUAGGAAGCAGUGGGGAAGAUUGAACAAUGGGCGCAGGCCGGAUGCAGCAGGGCUGCGGGUGGGAUGACGGCCUUCGGGUGGUAAACCGCCUUCAGGAGGGGAGAAGGCUGUGGUGACGGUACCUGAAGAAGAAGCACCGGCUAACUACGUG